GUGCCAGCCGCCGCGGUAAUACGUAUGGGGCAAGCGUUGUUCGGAGUUAUUGGGCGUAAAGGGCGUGUAGGCGGCUCAUCAAGUCUGGUGUGAAAUCGGCAGGCUCAACCUGUCAUAUGCGCUGGAAACUGGUGGGCUAGAGUUCUUGAGGGGAAGCUGGAAUUCCAGGUGUAGGGGUGAAAUCUGUAGAUAUCUGGAAGAACACCGGUGGCGAAGGCGAGCUUCUAUCAGAGGACUGACGCUGAGGCGCGAAAGCGUGGGGAGCAAACAGGAUUAGAUACCCUGGUAGUCCACGCUGUAAACGAUGUGCACUAGGCGUGGGGCACGUACGUGCUCUGUGCCGUAGCAAACGCGAUAAGUGCACCGCCUGGGGAGUAUGCUCGCAAGGGUGAAACUCAAAUGAAUUGACGGGG
Molecule: ribosomal RNA, 413 nt
Filed under: uncultured prokaryote
Description: bacterial SSU rRNA
Rfam family: Bacterial small subunit ribosomal RNA
Source: RNAcentral